CCUACGUGAGGCAGCAGUGGGGAAUAUUGGGCAAUGGGCGCAAGCCUGACCCAGCAACGCCGCGUGAAGGAAGAAGGCUUUCGGGUUGUAAACUUCUUUUCUCAGGGACGAAGCAAGUGACGGUACCUGAGGAAUAAGCCACGGCUAACUACGUGCCAGCAGCCGCGGUAAUACGUAGGUGGCAAGCGUUAUCCGGAUUUACUGGGGGUAAAGGGCGUGUAGGCGGGACCGCAAGUCAGAUGUGAAAACCAGGGGCUCAACCUAUGGCCUGCAUUUGAAACUGUAGUUCGUGAGUACUGGAGAGGCAGACGGAAGUCCUAGUGUAGCUGUGAAAUGCGUAGAUAUUAGGAGGAACACCAGGGGCGAAGGCGGUCUGCUGGACAGCAACUGACGCUGAGGCGCGAAAGCGUGGGGAGCAAACAGGAUUAGAUACCCUUGUAGUC
RNAcentral lists this ribosomal RNA (443 nucleotides) under uncultured bacterium. RNAcentral describes it as "partial 16S ribosomal RNA". It matches the Rfam family "Bacterial small subunit ribosomal RNA", at positions 338 to 795 of the family's 1533-position model. The record is from RNAcentral.